RNAcentral lists this ribosomal RNA (253 nucleotides) under uncultured bacterium. Its description in RNAcentral is "partial 16S ribosomal RNA". It matches the Rfam family "Bacterial small subunit ribosomal RNA", at positions 524 to 776 of the family's 1533-position model. The record is from RNAcentral.
UACAGAGGUCUCAAGCGUUGUUCGGAUUCAUUGGGCGUAAAGGGUGUGUAGGUGGCGCGCUAAGUCGGGUGUGAAAUUUCGGAGCUUAACUCCGAAACUGCAUUCGAUACUGGCGUGCUUGAGGACUGGAGAGGAGACUGGAAUUUACGGUGUAGCAGUGAAAUGCGUAGAUAUCGUAAGGAAGACCAGUGGCGAAGGCGGGUCUCUGGACAGUUCCUGACACUCAUGAGCGAAAGCGUGGGGAGCGAUCCGG